UGGGGAAUAUUGCGCAAUGGGGGGAACCCUGACGCAGCCAUGCCGCGUGAAUGAAGAAGGCCUUCGGGUUGUAAAGUUCUUUCGGUAUUGAGGAAGGUUGAUGUGUUAAUAGCACAUCAAAUUGACGUUAAAUACAGAAGAAGCACCGGCUAACUCCGUGCCAGCAGCCGCGGUAAUACGGAGGGUGCGAGCGUUAAUCGGAAUAACUGGGCGUAAAGGGCACGCAGGCGGUUAUUUAAGUGAGGUGUGAAAGCCCCGGGCUUAACCUGGGAAUUGCAUUUCAGACUGGGUAACUAGAGUACUUUAGGGAGGGGUAGAAUUCCACGUGUAGCGGUGAAAUGCGUAGAGAUGUGGAGGAAUACCGAAGGCGAAGGCAACCCCUUGGGAAUGUACUGACGCUCAUGUGCGAAAGCGUGGGGAGCAAACAGGAUUAGAUACCCUGGUAGUCCACGCUGUAAACGCUGUCGAUUUGGGGGUUGGGGUUUAACUCUGGCGCCCGUAGCUAACGUGAUAAAUCGACCGCCUGGGGAGUACGGCCGCAAGGUUA
Molecule: ribosomal RNA, 547 nt
Filed under: uncultured bacterium
Lineage: Bacteria
Description: bacterial SSU rRNA
Rfam family: Bacterial small subunit ribosomal RNA
Source: RNAcentral